GACGAACGCUGGCGGCGUGCUUAACACAUGCAAGUCGAACGGAAAGGCCCUGCAUUUGUGGGGUGCUCGAGUGGCGAACGGGUGAGUAACACGUGAGUAACCUGCCCUUGACUUUGGGAUAACUUCAGGAAACUGGGGCUAAUACCGGAUAGGAGCUCCUGCUGCAUGGUGGGGGUUGGAAAGUUUCGGCGGUUGGGGAUGGACUCGCGGCUUAUCAGCUUGUUGGGGGGGUAGUGGCUUACCAAGGCUUUGACGGGUAGCCGGCCUGAGAGGGUGACCGGCCACAUUGGGACUGAGAUACGGCCCAGACUCCUACGGGAGGCAGCAGUGGGGAAUAUUGCACAAUGGGCGGAAGCCUGAUGCAGCAACGCCGCGUGCGGGAUGACGGCCUUCGGGUUGUAAACCGCUUUCGCCUGUGACGAAGCGUGAGUGACGGUAAUGGGUAAAGAAGCACCGGCUAACUACGUG
RNAcentral lists this ribosomal RNA (468 nucleotides) under uncultured bacterium. RNAcentral's name for it is "partial 16S ribosomal RNA". It matches the Rfam family "Bacterial small subunit ribosomal RNA", at positions 28 to 507 of the family's 1533-position model. The record is from RNAcentral.